UCGUUUUUCAUGGUGGAAAUUGGUGAAUCGUCACUCCCCUACCUUUAAAUAUUUCAUAACUUGGAUUACGGCAUCCCUCUUCCAAGUUAUGAAGUAUUGUGUUGGGUCCUAGCAUUAAUAUUACAUUUGGGUGUCUUAUUAAGGAAUAUUUAUCUAAUCUAAACAUGUCUUUCUUCUUUUCUGAUGUCUUCCAAUAAUGCUUCUGGCUCAAACCCUACCGGCUCCUUCUCUCUCAUGAAACUUUCUGGGAGAGUCAUCUUUGAUGGUUCCAACUUUAAUGAUUGGAUCAGGAACAUCAGGAUGGUCACACGUUACGAGGAAAAGGAAUAUGUCCUCCACAAGGAGCUGAAGGAAAUUGAUGAGUCUACUGCUACUCCACAGGAGAUCGCUGACUUUAGGGCACAUGAGAGAGAUGCCACCAAGGUAGCAUGUAUCAUGUUGGCCACAAUGACAGCUGAACUCCAAAAGUCCUAUGAGGACUUUUACCCUUUUGAGAUGCACAUGGACCUGAUGCAAAGAUACCAUCAGAGUGCUCGUCAAGAGAGGUAUGAAAUCAUCUCUUCCAUGAUAACAACCCGAAUGAAGGAUGGUGAACCCAUCACGGCCCACAUGCAGAAAAUGCAAAGGUUUGUGGACCGUUUGCUGAAGUUGAAUGUGAACUUCCCUGAGGAGUUGUCUAUUGAAAUCCUUACCUACUUGUUAUGAUCAUUUCUGAAUGACCUAUCAUAUGAACACCAAGGUGGCAUGUAUCAUGUUGGCCACAAUGACAGCUGAACUCCAAAAGUCCUAUGAGGACUUUUACCCUUUUAAGAUGCACAUGGACCUGAUGCAAAGAUACCAUCAGAGUGCUCGUCAAGAG
Molecule: long non-coding RNA, 859 nt
Filed under: Lactuca sativa (garden lettuce)
Lineage: Eukaryota; Viridiplantae; Streptophyta; Magnoliopsida; Asterales; Asteraceae
Description: long non-coding RNA (LSAT_LNC004698)
Source: RNAcentral